GGCUUGGUAGUGUAACGGUAUCACGCUGCAUACGUCUUUGGUUCAAGAUAUGUGCAAGUCUCUUGCGGAGGUUCCCUGUUCAAUUCGGGGCCAAGCCA
Molecule: non-coding RNA, 98 nt
Organism: Mycena maculata
Lineage: Eukaryota; Fungi; Basidiomycota; Agaricomycetes; Agaricales; Mycenaceae
Source: the annotation of a GenBank genome assembly